GACGAACGCUGGCGGCGUGCUUAACACAUGCAAGUCGAACGGUGAAGCGCCUUCCUUUUUGGUGGGUGUGGAUGAGUGGCGAACGGGUGAGUAACACGUGAGUAACCUGCCCCCUUCUUCUGGAUAACCGCAUGAAAGUGUGGCUAAUACCGGAUAUUCUGGGUCUGUCGCAUGAUGGGUCUGGGAAAGAUCUUGUUUCGGUGGGGGAUGGGCUCGCGGCCUAUCAGCUUGGUGGUGGUGUGGUGGCCUACCAAGACGGUCACGGGUAGCUGGCCUGGGAGGGUGGACGGCCAUAGAACGACUGAGACGCGGCCAAGACUCCUACGGGAGGCAGCGGGGGGGAAUAGUGCACGAUGGGAGCAAGGCUGAUGCAGCGACGCCGCGGGAGAGAUGGAGGCCUUCGGGUUGUGAACCUCUUUCGCGAGUGAAGCAGGCCUGCCUAGUUUGUGGGUGGGUUGACGGUAGCUGGAGAAGAAGCGCCGGCUAACUACGUG
This 494-nucleotide ribosomal RNA is filed under the name uncultured bacterium. RNAcentral describes it as "partial 16S ribosomal RNA". It matches the Rfam family "Bacterial small subunit ribosomal RNA", at positions 28 to 507 of the family's 1533-position model. The record is from RNAcentral.